This 478-nucleotide ribosomal RNA is filed under the name uncultured bacterium. RNAcentral's name for it is "partial 16S ribosomal RNA". It matches the Rfam family "Bacterial small subunit ribosomal RNA", at positions 28 to 507 of the family's 1533-position model. The record is from RNAcentral.
GAUGAACGCUGGCGGCGUGCUUAACACAUGCAAGUCGAACGGGAAACCUUUUAUUGAAGCUUCGGCAGAUUUAGCUGGUUUCUAGUGGCGGACGGGUGAGUAACGCGUGGGUAACCUGCCUUAUACAGGGGGAUAACAACCAGAAAUGGUUGCUAAUACCGCAUAAGCGCACAGGACCGCAUGGUCCGGUGUGAAAAACUCCGGUGGUAUAAGAUGGACCCGCGUUGGAUUAGCUAGUUGGCAGGGUAACGGCCUACCAAGGCGACGAUCCAUAGCCGGCCUGAGAGGGUGAGCGGCCACAUUGGGACUGAGACACGGCCCAGACUCCUACGGGAGGCAGCAGUGGGGAAUAUUGCACAAUGGGGGAAACCCUGAUGCAGCGACGCCGCGUGAAGGAAGAAGUAUCUCGGUAUGUAAACUUCUAUCAGCAGGGAAGAUAGUGACGGUACCUGACUAAGAAGCCCCGGCUAACUACGUG